Unclassified non-coding RNA from Macaca fascicularis (crab-eating macaque), 146 nucleotides. It matches the Rfam family "Metazoan signal recognition particle RNA". From Rfam's summary of the family: The signal recognition particle (SRP) is a universally conserved ribonucleoprotein. The record is from Ensembl. Lineage: Eukaryota; Metazoa; Chordata; Mammalia; Primates; Cercopithecidae.
GCCAGGUGUGGUGGCACGUGCCUGUAGUCCCAGCUACUUGGAAGUCUGAGGUGGGAGGAUUGCUUGAGCCCAGGAAUUUGAGGUGGCAGUGAGCUGAUUAUACCACUGCACUCCAGCCUGGGCGACAAAGCAAGACCCUGUCUCUU